AUGAACGCUGGCGGCGUGCCUAAUACAUGCAAGUCGAGCGAACGGACGAGAAGCUUGCUUUUCUGAUGUUAGCGGCGGACGGGUGAGUAACACGUGGAUAACCUACCUAUAAGACUGGGAUAACUUCGGGAAACCGGAGCUAAUACCGGAUAAUAUUUUGAACCGCAUGGUUCAAAAGUGAAAGACGGUCUUGCUGUCACUUAUAGAUGGAUCCGCGCUGCAUUAGCUAGUUGGUAAGGUAACGGCUUACCAAGGCAACGAUGCAUAGCCGACCUGAGAGGGUGAUCGGCCACACUGGAACUGAGAAACGGUCCAGACUCCUACGGGAGGCAGCAGUAGGGAAUCUUCCGCAAUGGGCGAAAGCCUGACGGAGCAACGCCGCGUGAGUGAUGAAGGUCUUCGGAUCGUAAAACUCUGUUAUUAGGGAAGAACAUAUGUGUAAGUAACUGUGCACAUCUUGACGGUACCUAAUCAGAAAGCCACGGCUAACUACGUG
Molecule: ribosomal RNA, 496 nt
Filed under: uncultured bacterium
Lineage: Bacteria
Description: partial 16S ribosomal RNA
Rfam family: Bacterial small subunit ribosomal RNA
Source: RNAcentral